This 253-nucleotide ribosomal RNA is filed under the name uncultured bacterium. RNAcentral describes it as "partial 16S ribosomal RNA". It matches the Rfam family "Bacterial small subunit ribosomal RNA", at positions 524 to 776 of the family's 1533-position model. The record is from RNAcentral.
UACGUAGGGGGCAAGCGUUGUCCGGAUUUAUUGGGCGUAAAGCGCUCGCAGGUGGUCCGAUGCGUCGUGCGUGAAAGACCCCGGCUCAACUGGGGAGGGUCGUGCGAUACGGGCAGACUAGAGUACUGCAGGGGAGACUGGAAUUCCUGGUGUAGCGGUGGAAUGCGCAGAUAUCAGGAGGAACACCGGUGGCGAAGGCGGGUCUCUGGGCAGUAACUGACGCUGAGGAGCGAAAGCGUGGGGAGCGAACAGG